GAGAUUCGUGGCGCAAGCCACAACCACACACACACCGUGAACCGUGGGCCUCGGCCCCAUUACAAACUAUUUAGUAUCAGAACGUCAAUACAUUUAAAAUGAAA
Molecule: unclassified non-coding RNA, 104 nt
Filed under: uncultured fungus
Lineage: Eukaryota; Fungi
Description: sequence contains ITS1
Source: RNAcentral